AAUAGAGUUUAUUAAAAUAUUAAAAAAUUUAAUUAAAAGUAAAUCUUCUUCUCUGUGUAAUUUGUGUGUGUGUGUGUCUUCUAAGUGUAGAAAAUUUCUUAAAAAAAAGUGUUUUUUUUUUUCGUUCUCUCAAAUCAGCAGCAGCACUUUAAGCUUCUUUUAACAAAUUUUUAUGGGGAAAUUAUUACAAUAAAAGUAAUAAAUUCAGCAAAUUAAAGAAAUUUUGUUGUUAUUUUUAAGAAAACAAGAAAAACAAAUUUACUGUUAUAAGAUUUUUACAGUAUUAACAACAACAACAACAAAACAAAAUCUAGCAACAAAACAUCACUGUAAAUAAAUUUUAAAAUAAAAUUGCUAAAAUAUUAAAUAAAUAAUAACAAUAAAAAGAAAAAAAGUUUUAACUUCAUAAAAAAAACAAGAGAAAAAAAUAUUUAGUGUUACACUAAAUAGCGUCUAGUUUGGUUUUCUUUAUCAUUUAUUUAACUCAAAUUCUCCCACAGUGUGUGUGCGUGUGUGUUUGUCUCUUUUACUCCCUAAUAAUAAUAACAACAACACACAGCCUUAUUACAAUAGCACUCAAUUAAAAAAGAAAAAAACAAAGAGCACAUAUAUUUUACAACAACACUCAGCUGCUAAACAACAUUUAACAACGAGUCUUUGUCCAUUUGUAGUGAGAGUGAGUAAGCGAGAGCGAGUGCUUCCCCAACCGGCAUUUUUUUGUGUUUUUCUUUUAUAAAGUAACUUACAAAAACGCUAAAGUAAACAAAAUAAAUAUUAAAAAAAACAACCUAAUCAAAAUAAUUGUUAAUAAAAAUUGCUAAUUAAUAUCACAAAUCAAUUAAUUGCUAAAAAAAAAACCUCUACAAAAAAACCAAGAGAGUAAGAAAGUUAGCAAAGCAAAUAAGUUUGUUUACCUUAAUGUUUUCGUUUUCUUCUUUUCCAUUUUAUUUUAUGCAUUUCUUUUUUUUUGCCUUAAACAAGUGUUAAAAUAAAUAUAUAAUUAAAUAAAUUCAUAAAUUUGCCAGCAAAAAUUAUUAAAUAUAAAUAAAGCUUUUACUCCUUAACAAGUGUUAAUAAAUAAUUAAUUGGCUUAAGAAAUUCUAAAAAAAUCAAUAUAAAAAUAUAAAUUAUUAAAUUUAAUCAUCAUUAUACUAGUAGCACACCCACCCAAAAUUAAUAAAAAAAAUUUAAAAAUAAAAUGUACAAAUAAACUAAACUACAAAUUAAACAAAAAAUACAAAAGAAAUUUAAAUAAUUUCCAUUUAAAUUUUUGUGUUUAGGAAAUAACUCAAAAAUUACAUUACAACGAGUUGAUUUCCUUAAAAAAAAAAAUUCCCCCAAAAAAUAAUAAAUAAAUAUUCAUUCUAUCAACAAACCCCUCACACACCCGAAAAAAAUUACUCUUCUACUAAUAGUAGGAAAGAAGAAAACAAAUUUGUUUAUUUGAGGCAAGUGUCUGCAUAUUAAAUACACAUGCAACAACAUUUGAAGACACUUGCAUUGCAGCAACUAAAUGUGUUGUAAAAUAACCAGACAGACAGCCAGAGUGAGUGUGUGUUAAACUAGCAAGUGGGCAUUUUAUUUAUUCAUUUAUUUGUUUUUGCUGUUGCUGGAAUUUGAUUUUGGUUAUUUUGAUAACGACUACGACGAAAAAGCCCAAACACGGGUGGUGGUGUUGCAUUAACGACAACAACAAUAUCAUCAUCACCAACAGCAACAACAGCAACAACUGCAAUUGCUACAAAAUAUUAAAAAGCAGCAAACAAAAAAACCCAACUGCAACAAACAGAAAAAUAUUUAUUUAUUGUUGUCGUUAAACUUCAAUGAGCGUUUCGAUGUCACUCGUACAAGGUGGAGCUGCAGGCGGUGCGCCACAAGGUGCUAUACUAGCGGCUGCUGCCCCAUAUUAUCAGCCACCAGCAGUACCACAAGAUGUUCAACCAGAUCGUCCCAUUGGUUAUGGAGCAUUUGGUGUAGUAUGGUAAGUGUCCGCAUAUGAUGAA
Lucilia sericata (common green bottle fly) is the source of this 2003-nucleotide long non-coding RNA. RefSeq lists it as uncharacterized. NCBI's taxonomy places the organism in Eukaryota, Metazoa, Arthropoda, Insecta, Diptera, Calliphoridae. The transcript is spliced from 3 exons. The record is from RefSeq and is a predicted model, not a curated record.